Molecule: ribosomal RNA, 719 nt
Filed under: Streptomyces violascens
Lineage: Bacteria; Bacillati; Actinomycetota; Actinomycetes; Kitasatosporales; Streptomycetaceae
Description: bacterial SSU rRNA
Rfam family: Bacterial small subunit ribosomal RNA
Source: RNAcentral
GGCUCAGGACGAACGCUGGCGGCGUGCUUAACACAUGCAAGUCGAACGAUGAAGCCCUUCGGGGUGGAUUAGUGGCGAACGGGUGAGUAACACGUGGGCAAUCUGCCCUUCACUCUGGGACAAGCCCUGGAAACGGGGUCUAAUACCGGAUAACACUUCCUGCCGCAUGGUGGGGGGUUAAAAGCUCCGGCGGUGAAGGAUGAGCCCGCGGCCUAUCAGCUUGUUGGUGGGGUGAUGGCCUACCAAGGCGACGACGGGUAGCCGGCCUGAGAGGGCGACCGGCCACACUGGGACUGAGACACGGCCCAGACUCCUACGGGAGGCAGCAGUGGGGAAUAUUGCACAAUGGGCGAAAGCCUGAUGCAGCGACGCCGCGUGAGGGAUGACGGCCUUCGGGUUGUAAACCUCUUUCAGCAGGGAAGAAGCGAGAGUGACGGUACCUGCAGAAGAAGCGCCGGCUAACUACGUGCCAGCAGCCGCGGUAAUACGUAGGGCGCAAGCGUUGUCCGGAAUUAUUGGGCGUAAAGAGCUCGUAGGCGGCUUGUCACGUCGGAUGUGAAAGCCCGGGGCUUAACCCCGGGUCUGCAUUCGAUACGGGCUAGCUAGAGUGUGGUAGGGGAGAUCGGAAUUCCUGGUGUAGCGGUGAAAUGCGCAGAUAUCAGGAGGAACACCGGUGGCGAAGGCGGAUCUCUGGGCCAUUACUGACGCUGAGAGCGAAA